Molecule: ribosomal RNA, 429 nt
Filed under: Episymploce wulingensis
Lineage: Eukaryota; Metazoa; Arthropoda; Insecta; Blattodea; Blattellidae
Description: Symploce wulingensis partial large subunit ribosomal RNA
Rfam family: Bacterial large subunit ribosomal RNA
Source: RNAcentral
CUCUUUUCGAUUAUUUGAAAAGUAUAACCUGCCCACUGACUUAAGUUAAAGGGCCGCGGUAAUUUGACCGUGCAAAGGUAGCAUAAUCAUUAGUCUCUUAAUUAGAGGCUGGAAUGAAUGGUUGGACGAGAUAAAUACUGUCUUAUAAUUUAAUUUAGAAUUUAAUUUUUAAGUAAGAAAGCUUAAAUUUAAUUAUGGGACGAGAAGACCCUAUAGAGUUUAAUAAUUGUAUUUAUAUUGUGUGUUUGAUUAUUAAUUUAUAAAUUUAAUUUUUUUGUUGGGGUGAUGGAAAGAUAAUAUAAACUCUUUUUUUUGUUAUAUAUUUAUUUAUAGAAUUUUGAUCCAUUAAUAAUGAUUAUAAGACUAAAUUACCUUAGGGAUAACAGCGUAAUCUUUUUUGAGAGUUCAUAUCGACAAAAGGGAUUGCGA